This 253-nucleotide ribosomal RNA is filed under the name uncultured bacterium. RNAcentral describes it as "partial 16S ribosomal RNA". It matches the Rfam family "Bacterial small subunit ribosomal RNA", at positions 524 to 776 of the family's 1533-position model. RNAcentral also lists the same sequence under 1 other name. The record is from RNAcentral.
GACAGAGGGUGCGAACGUUGCUCGGAAUUACUGGGCGUAAAGCGCGUGUAGGCGGACGCGCAAGUCAGGUGUGAAAUCCCUGGGCUCAACCCAGGAACUGCAUCUGAAACUGCAUGUCUAGAGUGUCGGAGAGGGAAGCGGAAUUCCUGGUGUAGAGGUGAAAUUCGUAGAUAUCAGGAGGAACACCGGUGGCGAAGGCGGCUUCCUGGACGAUUACUGACGCUGAGACGCGAAAGCGUGGGGAGCAAACAGG